GCGUAAGCGCGCGCAGGCGGUUUCUUAAGUCUGAUGUGAAAGCCCACGGCUCAACCGUGGAGGGUCAUUGGAAACUGGGGAACUUGAGUGCCUAAGAGAAAAGCGGAAUUCCACGUGUAGCGGUGAAAUGCGUAGAGAUGUGGAGGAACACCAGUGGCGAAGGCGGCUUUUUGGUCUGUAACUGACGCUGAGGCGCGAAAGCGUGGGGAGCAAACAGGAUUAGAUACCCUGGUAGUCCACGCCGUAAACGAUGAGUGCUAAGUGUUAGAGGGUUUCCGCCCUUUAGUGCUGCAGCUAACGCAUUAAGCACUCCGCCUGGGGAGUACGGUCGCAAGACUGAUACUCAAAGGAAUUGACGGCGGCCCGCACCAG
This 372-nucleotide ribosomal RNA is filed under the name Priestia flexa. Its description in RNAcentral is "bacterial SSU rRNA". It matches the Rfam family "Bacterial small subunit ribosomal RNA", at positions 558 to 929 of the family's 1533-position model. The record is from RNAcentral. Lineage: Bacteria; Bacillati; Bacillota; Bacilli; Caryophanales; Bacillaceae.